CGAGAGGCACACCAACACCGGCAGAUGAGUCUCCGUUUAAUACUUGGGAUAUUAUAACAGUAAGUUAUAGCUCCAGAAGUCAGUCACCAGCAGCAGAUGUCACACAGUUAUAAAAUGGGAAACUUGAAGAAUAAGCUCCAGAAGUCAGCAGCAGCAGACAUCACACAGCCAUAAUGCGAGAAGCUUGAAGAAUAAUGUGGUAGUGGUUUGGAUACAUAUGACAUAUUUCACCUUCAGUUUAAAAUUGAAGUUUGUUUAUAU
Molecule: long non-coding RNA, 261 nt
Organism: Schistocerca nitens (vagrant locust)
Lineage: Eukaryota; Metazoa; Arthropoda; Insecta; Orthoptera; Acrididae
Exons: 3
Source: RefSeq, a predicted model, not a curated record